UAGGGAAUCUUCCACAAUGGGCGCAAGCCUGAUGGAGCAACGCCGCGUGAGUGAAGAAGGGUUUCGGCUCGUAAAACUCGGUUGUUAAAGAAGAACAUAUCUGAGAGUAACUGUUCAGGUAUUGACGGUAUUUAACCAGAAAGCCACGGCUAACUACGUGCCA
RNAcentral lists this ribosomal RNA (163 nucleotides) under uncultured bacterium. RNAcentral describes it as "partial 16S ribosomal RNA". It matches the Rfam family "Bacterial small subunit ribosomal RNA", at positions 355 to 510 of the family's 1533-position model. The record is from RNAcentral.